RNAcentral lists this ribosomal RNA (730 nucleotides) under uncultured eukaryote. RNAcentral's name for it is "bacterial SSU rRNA". It matches the Rfam family "Eukaryotic small subunit ribosomal RNA", at positions 674 to 1426 of the family's 1831-position model. The record is from RNAcentral.
UGCGUUGACCAGUCGGCUCCUCCCUUCUUCCGGCGAUGAUCUCCUGGCCUUAACUGGCCGGGUCGCCCUCUCCUGCUGUUACUUUGAAAAAUUAUAGUGCUCAAAGCACGCAUACUCUCGGGACACAUUAGCAUGGGAUAACAUCAUGGGUUUGUGAUCAUAGUGUGUUCGCUUUCGAUAUCAGAGUAGUGAUACACAGAGACUGUGGGGCGCUUUCGUAUCUUAUAGUCAGAGGUGAAAUUCUUGGAUUUGUGAAAGACGAACAAGUGAGAAAGCAUUUGCCAAGGAUGUUUUCUUUUAUCAAGAAAGAAAGUUGGGGGCUCGAAGACGAUCAGACACCGUCCUAGUCUCAACCAUAAAAGAUGCCGACCAGGUAUCAGCGGAUGUUGCUUUUAGGACUCCGCUGGCACCUUAUGAGAAAUCAAAGUUUUUGGUUUCCGGGGGGAGUAUUGUCGCAAGGGUGAAACUUAAAGGAAUUGAGGGAAGGGCCCCCCCAGGAGUGGAGCGUGCGGUUUAAUUUGACUCAACACGGGGAAACUUACCAGGUCCAGGCAUAGUAAGGAUUGACAGACUGAGAGCUCUUUCUUGAUUCUAUGGGUGGUGGUGCAUGGCCGUUCUUAGUUGGUGGAGCGAUUUGUCUGGUUAAUUCCGUUAACGAAGGAGACCUCAGCCUGCUAACUAGCUAUGCGGAGGCGACCCUCCGCGGCCAGCUUGUUAGAGGGAGUAUGGC